GAAAAUUAACGGUCGAAAGUAACGAGUAGCCAGCCUGCCAUUAAAAUGUGACGUUUUAGAGAAAACGCUGGAAGCAUCAGUAGGUCAGGCUGCAUCUGGUGGAAGAGAAGCAGAGAGAAUGUUUCAGAAAUAUAAUGAAGCUGGAUCCAGCUUUCCAACCGUCCAUUCUGACAUUCUGCAUAGUACUGGUCGGGCUCUGGAUAGGUUGAUGUUGAGGCUGUGAAUCAGAACUGGAAAGCUGCAAUGAGUACAACAAGGCAUUUGACCAUACCUGACCACAGCAGGGGCAGAGGGAGGAGAUUUGCAGAUUCUUUAUUUAAAUGUGAGGAAGAGGAAAUCAAGAAGACAUGGACACAGUCCAGAUCCAGGACUACUUACUGAGUGGUUACAGGCAAGUACUCUGCUGGAGGAACUCAGUGGGUUGAGCAGCAGC
Long non-coding RNA from Pristis pectinata (smalltooth sawfish), 433 nucleotides. RefSeq lists it as uncharacterized. The record is from RefSeq and is a predicted model, not a curated record. NCBI's taxonomy places the organism in Eukaryota, Metazoa, Chordata, Chondrichthyes, Rhinopristiformes, Pristidae. The transcript has 3 exons.